UGCAGCUGCACUAACCAGGAAAAUGCAGCUUACUAGUUACAACAGACUGCAGAGCUGAGAGAAAAUGGUUGGUGUGGCUGCUCCAGCAAGGAAGCCUGAGCUAUGGUCUAUUCUGUGAGGAGCUCUGAGGCAGUCAGCCAUCCUGCGUUAAUGUGAUACAUUGAGAGUCCAGGCAGAUCAGAACUGCAGUGUUUGCACCAGAGUUAGUCUGGCUUCCAACAGAGGGAGAAGUGAAUAACAAGCCAAUCAACAUGCAAAACACUGAGCAGAGCAGCACAGCACACAGCCACCAGCCAAAAGCGAGAUUAACACGUGGCUGCAGUCAGGACAGUGACUCCUUGCUCUUGGCUUUUUCAGCUUUGCACGUCUGCUCCUUGUAUCUUCUGAAUCAUCUUUCUAGUGUUUACUGGUCAAAAUAAGUUGCUAUCCUUGUCAGCACUGCAUGAUGAAUACAGUAGGACUAGCUGAUGCUCGCUGCAAGUUCCCAGCUAAGGAAGAAGCUUUGCCCCUUUUGCCACUCUGGAGCUGCAUCCAGAGGGACCACCCCCAUCCCGAGGCUGGGCCAUGAAUGCCAUAACACGGGAAUGCAGCUGGCCCUGCCAACUGGGCACAGUGAGUGGUAAAGAGAAACCUCUUCCAAAAUGUAAAUGUGCUUGCCUGGCAUUGCUGGGGAACUUGGGUUGCCUUAUACAGAGUGUGAUCCUGCCUACCCCGUGCUCAAGUGGGACCUUCUUAACUUCAGUGGAUGCGACUCCUGGAGGUCAUUUUCCAGCGACAAUU
This 780-nucleotide long non-coding RNA is filed under the name Gallus gallus (chicken). Its description in RNAcentral is "long non-coding RNA NONGGAT006777". Lineage: Eukaryota; Metazoa; Chordata; Aves; Galliformes; Phasianidae. The record is from RNAcentral.